RNAcentral lists this unclassified non-coding RNA (629 nucleotides) under Hevea brasiliensis (rubber tree). The record is from RNAcentral. Lineage: Eukaryota; Viridiplantae; Streptophyta; Magnoliopsida; Malpighiales; Euphorbiaceae.
UGGAUGGCCAUCAUUCCUAUCACCGUAAUUGCCUUUUCUUUUUAGUUUCUGUUGCACUACUCACCUUUACACUUGAAAAAGACAUUUGUAGGUAGUGGCUGGCAAUUUUGGACUUGCAUAGCUGAUCCAAAUGUCCCUGGAAAUGGGGCCAAAACUGGGAUGAGCAUGCACUAAACACAAAAUAACUAGAAAAUUUUAGGUUCAAACUCCAGCAACCAAAUAACUUGAAAUAAUUUAUUUUUAAAUUGAAAAUUUCCAGAAAUUGACUAAUUGCAAAGUGAAACCUCAAAAUAGUUACAAAAUGACUCAAGCAACCUGAAAUGAAUUCCCAAAAAUCUAACUUUUGCAUGAUCUGGAGUUUGAAAUGUGGAGUGACUUGAACCCAAAACAACAUGAAAAUUUGGCAUUUGAAACAAACAGCCUGAACUGAAAGGACUAAAUCCUAACCCAUCUCCAGACCCAAGUAUGCAUAAACAAAUAGACACUUGAAAAAUCGACUGAUUUGUGUCUAGGGUGAGUGGAAUGGUAGAAGCACCCAUGAAAAUUUUUAAAAAUUCCUAUGCCCUUUCAUAUUGUGUUAUCCUGAUAUUUCAGUUCCUGGACAGCUUGUCCUUUUGGUGGGUACAAAA